This 253-nucleotide ribosomal RNA is filed under the name uncultured bacterium. RNAcentral describes it as "partial 16S ribosomal RNA". It matches the Rfam family "Bacterial small subunit ribosomal RNA", at positions 524 to 776 of the family's 1533-position model. The record is from RNAcentral.
UACGGAGGGGGCGAGCGUUAUUCGGAAUUAUUGGGCGUAAAGGGCGCGUAGGCGGCCCGGUAAGUCAAAGGUGAAAUCCCUCGGCUCAACUGAGGAACUGCCUUUGAAACUGUCGGGCUUGAGGCCGGGAGGGGGUAGCGGAAUUCCCAGUGUAGCGGUGAAAUGCGUAGAUAUUGGGAGGAACACCGGUGGCGAAGGCGGCUACCUGGACCGGUACUGACGCUGAGGCACGAAAGCGUGGGGAGCAAACAGG